UGUUGAUUCAAAAUGUUUUUUUUUGAUAAAAAUGACUUUGCAGAUUUCAUUGUUGCUAAAAGCCACUUUGUGUUUAACCGAGGUGUGUAGCCUCGCUUCGGCUAGGCGUGCGCCCUUUGACUACUAUGACUAGAGUUGUUUGAAUGGAUGGAAAAACUUUUAUAUCUAUGAUGGCUCUUCAAAAGGGCAAGCCCCUGGGGAAGACAGUGAAGUCAUUUUAUACCCUCAAGCCAUCUUUAAUGAUCCAUUCAGAAGGGGCAACAAUAUUCUGGUGAUGUGUGAUGCUUACACACCAGCGAGUGAGCCGAUCCCGAAUAACAAGAGGGACAACGGUUUCAGCUAGGAACAAUCAGGCAUUAGGUUUACCUGUGGUUUCUUCAGUCAGUGUGGCAAAAAAGACGCUCAUUAGCAUCCUUGGUUUUAAUUUGGGUACUUCAGGUGCUUCUAUUCGCCUGAGUAAAUUGGUGUCAAUGAAUGGGGCUUCGGGUGCUUUUAUUGGCCUCA
Long non-coding RNA from Helianthus annuus (common sunflower), 504 nucleotides. RefSeq lists it as uncharacterized. Lineage: Eukaryota; Viridiplantae; Streptophyta; Magnoliopsida; Asterales; Asteraceae. The record is from RefSeq and is a predicted model, not a curated record. The transcript has 4 exons.